Sander lucioperca (pikeperch) is the source of this 401-nucleotide long non-coding RNA. RefSeq lists it as uncharacterized. NCBI's taxonomy places the organism in Eukaryota, Metazoa, Chordata, Actinopteri, Perciformes, Percidae. The transcript has 3 exons. The record is from RefSeq and is a predicted model, not a curated record.
UGCUCAAAAUGCCACCCUAACUACAACAUCUCAGUCCCCAAAAUUGUACAGCACAUUAUUAGCACUUCUCUUUGGCCAUUUAAGUUUUAGAUCCAGACUUUAGCUUUAGUAUAGCUAUUUAAAUUAUUUAUGUGAAUGUUAUUUUGAUAUUUUGUACGAAGUGCGUUUUUUGUUGCUAUUGAUAAUAUUUUAUCCAAGUGGAUUGUGCAGGUGUUUGUGUGUAGAGUAUGGACUCAUGGGGCUGGUUUCCUUAACACUGAUUAGCUUACAUGCUACUAAUUCAUAAUGCUGGUUUUUAGACACCUCAGUCUGCAGUGUUUUCUCCAAAGGGGAAAGGUUUGCAUCCCACUGCUGUGCUGCGUCAUGAAACCGGCUGAGCGGUCCAAAAAUGGAGCAGGCAG